Molecule: ribosomal RNA, 323 nt
Filed under: uncultured eukaryote
Lineage: Eukaryota
Description: partial 18S ribosomal RNA
Rfam family: Eukaryotic small subunit ribosomal RNA
Source: RNAcentral
CCCUUAGAUGUUCUGGGCCGCACGCGCGCUACACUGUUUGAUUCAGCGAGUCUUAACCUUGACCGAAAGGUUUGGGUAAUCUUCUAAAGUCAAACGUGAUGGGGAUCGAUCAUUGCAAUUAUUGGUCUUCAACGAGGAAUUCCUAGUAGACGUAGUUCAUCAGACUGCAUCGAUUACGUCCCUGCCCUUUGUACACACCGCCCGUCGCUCCUACCGAUUGAAUGCUCAGGUGAGCCAUUCGGACUUUCAUCAUGCUGGUUUCCAGUUUUGAUGAAGGAAAGUCUUGCGAACCUUAUCAUUUAGAGGAAGGAGAAGUCGUAACA